RNAcentral lists this ribosomal RNA (483 nucleotides) under uncultured bacterium. RNAcentral's name for it is "partial 16S ribosomal RNA". It matches the Rfam family "Bacterial small subunit ribosomal RNA", at positions 28 to 523 of the family's 1533-position model. The record is from RNAcentral.
GACGAACGCUGGCGGCGUGCUUAACACAUGCAAGUCGAACGAUGAAGCCGGAGCUUGCUCCGGUGGAUUAGUGGCGAACGGGUGAGUAACACGUGAGCAAUCUGCCCUUGACUCUGGGAUAACUGCGGGAAACUGUAGCUAAUACCGGAUACGACACCUUGGGGCAUCCCAGGGUGUGGAAAGAAUUUCGGUCAAGGAUGAGCUCGCGGCCUAUCAGCUAGUUGGUGAGGUAAUGGCUCACCAAGGCGACGACGGGUAGCCGGCCUGAGAGGGGGACCGGCCACAAUGGAACUGAGACACGGGCCAGACUCCUACGGGAGGCAGCAGUGGGGAAUAUUGCACAAUGGGCGAAAGCCUGAUGCAGCAACGCCGCGUGAGGGAUGAAGGCCUUCGGGUUGUAAACCUCUUUUAGCAGGGAAGAAGCGAAAGUGACGGUACCUGCAGAAAAAGCACCGGCUAACUACGUGCCAGCCGCCGCAGUAA